RNAcentral lists this ribosomal RNA (900 nucleotides) under uncultured bacterium. RNAcentral's name for it is "bacterial SSU rRNA". It matches the Rfam family "Bacterial small subunit ribosomal RNA", at positions 55 to 953 of the family's 1533-position model. The record is from RNAcentral.
AUGCAAGUCGAGCGCGAAAGGCCUUCGGGCUGAGUAGAGCGGCGGACGGGUGAGUAACGCGUAGGAAUCUACCUGGUAGUGGGGGACAACAUGGUGAAAACCAUGCUAAUACCGCAUACGCCCUAUGGGGGAAAGCGGGGGACCUUCGGGCCUCGCGCUAUCAGAUGAGCCUGCGUAGGAUUAGCUUGUUGGUGAGGUAAAGGCUCACCAAGGCGACGAUCCUUAGCUGGUCUGAGAGGAUGAUCAGCCACACUGGAACUGAGACACGGUCCAGACUCCUACGGGAGGCAGCAGUGGGGAAUAUUGCGCAAUGGGCGAAAGCCUGACGCAGCCAUGCCGCGUGUGUGAAGAAGGCCUUCGGGUUGUAAAGCACUUUCAAUUGGGAAGAAAGGUUGCGUGUUAAUAGCACGUAGCUGUGACGUUACCUUUAGAAGAAGCACCGGCUAACUCCGUGCCAGCAGCCGCGAUAAUACGGAGGGUGCGAGCGUUAAUCGGAAUUACUGGGCGUAAAGCGCGCGUAGGCGGUUUGUUAAGUCGGAUGUGAAAUCCCCGGGCUCAACCUGGGAAUGGCAUUCGAUACUGGCCGACUAGAGUACGAGAGAGGGAGGUAGAAUUCCACGUGUAGCGGUGAAAUGCGUAGAUAUGUGGAGGAAUACCGGUGGCGAAGGCGGCCUCCUGGCUCGAUACUGACGCUGAGGUGCGAAAGCGUGGGUAGCAAACAGGAUUAGAUACCCUGGUAGUCCACGCCGUAAACGAUGUCUACUAGCCGUUGGGAGACUUGAUUUCUUAGUGGCGCAGCUAACGCACUAAGUAGACCGCCUGGGGAGUACGGCCGCAAGGUUAAAACUCAAAUGAAUUGACGGGGGCCCGCACAAGCGGUGGAGCAUGUGGUUUAAUUCG